Molecule: ribosomal RNA, 388 nt
Filed under: uncultured bacterium
Lineage: Bacteria
Description: bacterial SSU rRNA
Rfam family: Bacterial small subunit ribosomal RNA
Source: RNAcentral
GACGAACGCUGGCGGCGUGCUUAACACAUGCAAGUCGAGCGGUAAGGCCCUUUCGGGGGUACACGAGCGGCGAACGGGUGAGUAACACGUGGGUGACCUGCCCUCAGCUCUGGGAUAAGCCUGGGAAACCGGGUCUAAUACCGGAUAUGACUCCAUGACGCAUGUUGUGGGGUGGAAAGCCUUGUGCGGCUGAGGAUGGGCCCGCGGCCUAUCAGCUUGUUGGUGGGGUGAUGGCCUACCAAGGCGACGACGGGUAGCCCGCCUGAGAGGGCGACCGGCCACACUGGGACUGAGACACGGCCCAGACUCCUACGGGAGGCAGCAGUGGGGAAUCUUGCGCAAUGGGCGAAAGCCUGACGCAGCGACGCCGCGUCAGGGAUGACGGCCU